UACAGGUAUUGCAUGGUUGUCGUAGGUCAGUGCUAGUAAGGCGAGAAGUUAGUUCUGUUAAACUCGACGUAAUCCUUGCUGUAAAUUUAAACUUUACAGUCCUAUUUCGAUAAGAAAUUAAAAAAAACUUAUUUUUAGAAGGAGUAUGACAAACCCUCAUGGUCCUUAUGGGGUGGGCUAUAGACGUGCUACAAUAGAUUUAUCAAAGUGAUGCAAUUUUGUAAGAAGGAGCUAAACACUAACCGAUACUAAAUAUGAAUUGUGGACUGGAAU
This 273-nucleotide ribosomal RNA is filed under the name Staphylococcus aureus. RNAcentral's name for it is "partial 16S ribosomal RNA". It matches the Rfam family "Bacterial small subunit ribosomal RNA", at positions 1033 to 1311 of the family's 1533-position model. The record is from RNAcentral. Lineage: Bacteria; Bacillati; Bacillota; Bacilli; Caryophanales; Staphylococcaceae.